This 497-nucleotide ribosomal RNA is filed under the name uncultured bacterium. RNAcentral describes it as "partial 16S ribosomal RNA". It matches the Rfam family "Bacterial small subunit ribosomal RNA", at positions 28 to 507 of the family's 1533-position model. The record is from RNAcentral.
GAUGAACGCUGGCGGCGUGCCUAAUACAUGCAAGUCGAGCGAACAGACGAGGAGCUUGCUCCUCUGACGUUAGCGGCGGACGGGUGAGUAACACGUGGAUAACCUACCUAUCAGACUGGGAUAACUUCGGGAAACCGGAGCUAAUACCGGAUAAUAUAUUGAACCGCAUGGUUCAAUAGUGAAAGACGGUUUUGCUGUCACUUAUAGAUGGAUCCGCGCCGCAUUAGCUAGUUGGUAAGGUAACGGCUUACCAAGGCAACGAUGCGUAGCCGACCGGAGAGGGUGAUCGGCCACACUGGAGCUGAGACACGGUCCAGACGCCUACGGGAGGCAGCAGUAGGGAAUCUUCCGCAAUGGGCGAAAGCCUGACGGAGCAACGCCGCGUGAGUGAUGAAGGUCUUCGGAUCGUAAAACUCUGUUAUUAGGGAAGAACAAAUGUGUAAGUAACUAUGCACGUCGUGACGGUACCUAAUCAGAAAGCCACGGCUAACUACGUG